UGGGCAACCUGCCCUCAGCUCUGGGAUAACUCCAAGAAAUUGGGGCUAAUACCGGAUAUGACUGCUGACCGCAUGGUCUGGUGGUGGAAAGAUUUUAUCGGCUGGGGAUGGGCCCCGCGGCCUAUCAGCUUGUUGGUGGGGUAGUGGCCUACCAAGGCGACGACGGGUAGCCGGCCUGGAGAGGGUGACCCGGCCACACUGGGACUGAGACACGGCCCAAGGACCUUCCCGUAACGGG
This 238-nucleotide ribosomal RNA is filed under the name uncultured bacterium. RNAcentral describes it as "partial 16S ribosomal RNA". It matches the Rfam family "Bacterial small subunit ribosomal RNA", at positions 118 to 351 of the family's 1533-position model. The record is from RNAcentral.